CCAAGACCCUCAAAUCCCCCCCAGGACCCCAAAUCCCCCCCCUGCUCCCACCUUCCCGGCCCCACUUCAUGGUGCUCAGUGCUAUGGGGUCGGCCACGCCCUAUAGGGCCUCUCCCCCCCCUCCAACCCCCCACCCCCAUAAAGCACCCUCCUAUGGGGGCCACACCCACCAGGGCCACCCAUGGCCACUGCCCACGUCCCCAAUGGCCCCAAUGUCCCCAUGUCCAUAAUGGCCCCAUGUCCAUAAUGGCCCCAUGUCCAUAAUGGCCCCAGUGUCCCCAUGUCUAUAAUGGCCCCAAUGGCCCCAAUGUCUCCAUGUCCAUAAUGGCCCCACAUCCCCAAUGACCCCAUGUCCAUAAUGGCCCCAAUGUCCCCAAUGUCCCCAUGUCCAUAAUGGCCCCAAUGGCCCCAUGUCCAUAAUGGCCCCAAUGUCCCCAAUGUCCCCACGUCCCCAAUGGCCCCAUGUCCAUAAUGUCCCCAUGUCCAUAAUGGCCCCAAUGUCCCCAAUGUCCCCAUGUCCAUAAUGGCCCCUCAUCCCCAAUGGUGUCCCCAUGUCCACAACGUCCCAAUGUCCCCACAUCCCCAAUGUCCCCAUGUCCAUAAUGUCCCCAAUGUCCCCACGUCCCCAAUGUCCCCAUGUCCAUAAUGGCUCCACAUCCCCAUUAUGGACAUGGGGACAUCAUGUCCCCAAUGUCCCCACGUCCAUAAUGUCCCCAUGUCCAUAAUGGCCCCAAUGUCCCCACAUCCCCAGUGUCCCCACGUCCAUAAUGGCCCGAAUGGCCCCAAUGUGCCCAUGUCCAUAAUGGCCCCACGUUCAUAAUGUCCCCAAUGUCCCCACAUCCCCAAUGUCCCCAUGUCCAUAAUGUCCCCAUGUCCAUAAUGGCCCCAAUGUCCCCACGUCCCCAAUGUCCCCAUGUCCAUAAUGUUCUCAUGUCCAUAAUGGCCCCACUGUCCCCAUUGUCCCCAAACCCCCAAUGUCCCCAUGUCCAUAAUGUCCCCAAUGUCCCCACGUCCCCAGUGGCCCCAUGUACAUAAUGGCCCCAUGUCCCCAAUGUCCCCAGUGUCCCCAUGUCCCCCCCCAUGUCCCACUGUCCCCAUACAGCUGGCAGUGCCACGUGUCCCGCCCCCCCC
Molecule: long non-coding RNA, 1131 nt
Filed under: Gallus gallus (chicken)
Lineage: Eukaryota; Metazoa; Chordata; Aves; Galliformes; Phasianidae
Description: lncRNA (ENSGALG00010003939.1)
Source: RNAcentral